GACGAACGCUGGCGGCGUGCUUAACACAUGCAAGUCGAACGAUGAAGCAAAGAAUUGAAGCUUCGGCAGAAAUUCAUUUCGGAUUAGUGGCAGACGGGUGAGUAACGCGUGAGCAACCUACCUCUUACAAAGGGAUAGCCUCGGGAAACCGGGAUUAAUACCAUAUAACAUUGCGACGAAGCAUUUCGAUGCAAUCAAAGCUACGGCGGUAAGAGAUGGGCUCGCGUCCCAUUAACCAGAUGGUGAGGUAACGGCUCACCAUAGUAACGAUGGGUAACCGGACUGAGAGGGUGAACGGUCACACUGGAACUGAGACACGGUCCAGACUCCUACGGGAGGCAGCAGUGGGGAAUAUUGCACAAUGGAGGGAACUCUGAUGCAGCGACGCCGCGUGAGUGAUGAAGGAAUUCGUUUCGUAAAACUCUGUUCUAUGGGAAGAAAAGGACUGUACCAUAGGAGAAAGCGCCGGCUAAAUACGUG
Molecule: ribosomal RNA, 480 nt
Filed under: uncultured bacterium
Lineage: Bacteria
Description: partial 16S ribosomal RNA
Rfam family: Bacterial small subunit ribosomal RNA
Source: RNAcentral